RNAcentral lists this ribosomal RNA (496 nucleotides) under uncultured bacterium. Its description in RNAcentral is "partial 16S ribosomal RNA". It matches the Rfam family "Bacterial small subunit ribosomal RNA", at positions 29 to 507 of the family's 1533-position model. The record is from RNAcentral.
AUGAACGCUGGCGGCGUGCCUAAUACAUGCAAGUCGCGCGAACAGACGAGGAGCUUGCUCCUCUGACGUUAGCGGCGGACGGGUGAGUAACCCGUGGAUAACCUACCUAUAAGACUGGGAUAACUUCGGGAAACCGGAGCUAAUACCGGAUAAUAUAUUGAACCGCAUGGUUCAAUAGUGAAAGACGGUUUUGCUGUCACUUAUAGAUGGAUCCGCGCCGCAUUAGCUAGUUGGUAAGGUAACGGCUUACCAAGGCAACGAUGCGUAGCCGACCUGAGAGGGUGAUCGGCCACACUGGAACUGAGACACGGUCCAGACUCCUACGGGAGGCAGCAGUAGGGAAUCUUCCGCAAUGGGCGAAAGCUUGACGGAGCAACGCCGCGUGAGUGAUGAAGGUCUUCGGAUCGUAAAACUCUGUUAUUAGGGAAGAACAAAUGUGUAAGUAACUAUGCACGUCUUGACGGUACCUAAUCAGAAAGCCACGGCUAACUACGUG